The sequence is a ribosomal RNA, 689 nucleotides long. It matches the Rfam family "Bacterial small subunit ribosomal RNA", at positions 12 to 714 of the family's 1533-position model.
UUUGAUCCUGGCUCAGGAUGAACGCUGGCGGCGUGCUUAACACAUGCAAGUCGAACGAUGAAGCCCAGCUUGCUGGGUGGAUUAGUGGCGAACGGGUGAGUAACACGUGAGUAACCUGCCCUUAACUCUGGGAUAAGCCUGGGAAACUGGGUCUAAUACCGGAUAGGAGCGUCCACCGCAUGGUGGGUGUUGGAAAGAUUUAUCGGUUUUGGAUGGACUCGCGGCCUAUCAGCUUGUUGGUGAGGUAAUGGCUCACCAAGGCGACGACGGGUAGCCGGCCUGAGAGGGUGACCGGCCACACUGGGACUGAGACACGGCCCAGACUCCUACGGGAGGCAGCAGUGGGGAAUAUUGCACAAUGGGCGAAAGCCUGAUGCAGCGACGCCGCGUGAGGGAUGACGGCCUUCGGGUUGUAAACCUCUUUCAGUAGGGAAGAAGCGAAAGUGACGGUACCUGCAGAAGAAGCACCGGCUAACUACGUGCCAGCAGCCGCGGUAAUACGUAGGGUGCGAGCGUUAUCCGGAAUUAUUGGGCGUAAAGAGCUCGUAGGCGGUUUGUCGCGUCUGUCGUGAAAGUCCGGGGCUUAACCCCGGAUCUGCGGUGGGUACGGGCAGACUAGAGUGCAGUAGGGGAGACUGGAAUUCCUGGUGUAGCGGUGGAAUGCGCAGAUAUCAGGAGGAACACCGAGA